Molecule: ribosomal RNA, 254 nt
Filed under: uncultured bacterium
Lineage: Bacteria
Description: partial 16S ribosomal RNA
Rfam family: Bacterial small subunit ribosomal RNA
Source: RNAcentral
AAACCGGGGAGAGUGGCGGACGGGUGAGUAAGACGUUGGUGACCUGCCCCGAAGAGAGGAACAACCGCUGGAAACGGUGGCUAAUACCUCGUGUGUCUGUUGAAGUUAGAGUUUGACAGAGGAAGGACUACGGUUCGCUUUGGGAGGGGCUAACGUGCUAUCAGCUAGUUGGUGGGGUAAAGGCUCACCAAGGCGAAGACGGCUAGGGGGCGUGAGAGCGCGACCCCCCACAAUGGGACUGAGACACGGCCCAG